AGUGUCGUAGAUAAGUGUUACUUCGCACUUGUAAUGCCCGGUCGUGGGUUCGAGUCCCACCGUCUCUACAA
Molecule: transfer RNA, 71 nt
Filed under: Chitinophagaceae bacterium
Lineage: Bacteria; Pseudomonadati; Bacteroidota; Chitinophagia; Chitinophagales; Chitinophagaceae
Description: tRNA-Thr
Rfam family: tRNA
About the family: Transfer RNA (tRNA) molecules are approximately 80 nucleotides in length.
Source: RNAcentral